This 657-nucleotide unclassified non-coding RNA is filed under the name Histoplasma capsulatum. RNAcentral's name for it is "partial contains ITS1, 5.8S rRNA, ITS2". The stretch from base 265 to 418 matches the Rfam family "5.8S ribosomal RNA". The record is from RNAcentral. Lineage: Eukaryota; Fungi; Ascomycota; Eurotiomycetes; Onygenales; Ajellomycetaceae.
GGAAGUAAAAGUCGUAACAAGGUUUCCGUAGGUGAACCUGCGGAAGGAUCAUUACCACGCCGUGGGGGGCUGGGAGCCUCUGACCGGGACCCCUCCGCCCCCCUACCCGGCCACCCUUGUCUACCGGACCUGUUGCCUCGGCGGGCCUGCAGCGAUGCUGCCGGGGGAGCUUCUCCUCCCCGGGCCCGUGUCCGCCGGGGACACCGCAAGAACCGUCGGUGAACGAUUGGCGUCUGAGCAUGAGAGCGAUAAUAAUCCAGUCAAAACUUUCAACAACGGAUCUCUUGGUUCCGACAUCGAUNAAGAACGCAGCGAAAUGCGAUAAGUAAUGUGAAUUGCAGAAUUCCGUGAAUCAUCGAAUCUUUGAACGCACAUUGCGCCCCCUGGUAUUCCGGGGGGCAUGCCUGUCCGAGCGUCAUUGCAACCCUCAAGCGCGGCUUGUGUGUUGGGCCGUCGUCCCCCCUCGACCGGCGGGACGUGCCCGAAAUGCAGUGGCGGUGUCGAGUUCCGGUGCCCGAGCGUAUGGGGCUUUGCCACCCGCUCUGGAGGCCCGGCCGGCUCCGGCCCACCAUCUCAACCCCCCCCUUUCUCACACCAGGUUGACCUCGGAUCAGGUAGGGAUACCCGCUGAACUUAAGCAUAUCAAUAAGCGGAGGA